AUCAGUACUUUCUGCACGUUUUAACAAUACCGCAAUAAUACUGCUAACCGUGAUUAUUUUGGUCACUAUAAUCGUGAUAUGAAAUUCUCAUACCAUUUAAUCUCUAGUUACAACAGAAAGGGUUCGAUUUCAGCCCAGGGGCAGUAAGGUUACAACAGAAAGGGGUUGAUUUCAGCCCAGGGGCAGUAAGGUUCCAACAGAAAGGAGUUGAUUUCAGCCCAGGGGCAGUAAGGUUACAACAGAAAGGGGUUGAUUUCAGCCCAGGGGCAGUAAGGUUACAACAGAAAGGAGUUGAUUUCAGCCCAGGGGCAGUAAGGUUACAACAGAAAGGAGUUGAUUUCAGCCCAGGGGCAGUAAGGUUACAACAGAAAGGGGUUGAUUUCAGCCCAGGGGCAGUAAGGUUCCAACAGAAAGGAGUUGAUUUCAGCCCAGGGGCAGUAAGGUUACAACAGAAAGGGGUUGAUUUCAGCCCAGGGGCAGUAAGGUUACAACAGAAAGGGGUUGAUUUCAGCCCAGGGGCAGUAAGGUUACAACAGAAAGGGGUUGAUUUCAGCCCAGGGGCAGUAAGGUUACAACAUAAAGGAGUUGAUUUCAGCCCAGGGGCAGUAAGGUUACAACAUAAAGGAGUUGAUUUCAGCCCAGGGGCAGUAAGGUUCCAACAGAAAGGAGUUGAUUUCAGCCCAGGGGCAGUAAGGUUACAACAUAAAGGAGUUGAUUUCAGCCCAGGGGCAGUAAGGUUACAACAUAAAGGAGUUGAUUUCAGCCCAGGGGCAGUAAGGUUACAACAGAAAGGGGUUGAUUUCAGCCCAGGGGCAGUAAGGUUACGACAGAAAGGAGUUGAUUUCAGCCCAGGGGCAGUAAGGUUACGACAGAAAGGAGUUGAUUUCAGCCCAGGGGCAGUAAGGUUACAACAGAAAGGAGUUGAUUUCAGCCCAGGGGCAGUAAGAUUACAACAGAAAGGAGUUGAUUUCAGCCCAGGGGCAGUAAGGUUACAACAGAAAGGAGUUGAUUUCAGCCCAGG
Long non-coding RNA from Oncorhynchus keta (chum salmon), 1021 nucleotides. RefSeq lists it as uncharacterized. The record is from RefSeq and is a predicted model, not a curated record. Lineage: Eukaryota; Metazoa; Chordata; Actinopteri; Salmoniformes; Salmonidae. The transcript has 4 exons.